GUACGCGGCAUCGACUCUGUCGUUGCCGAUGCUACCGGAAAGAUGACCAAACUUGAUCAUUUAGAGGAAGUAAAAGUCGUAACAAUGUUUCCGUAGGUCAACCUGCGGAAGGUUCAUUA
Molecule: ribosomal RNA, 119 nt
Filed under: Podisma pedestris
Lineage: Eukaryota; Metazoa; Arthropoda; Insecta; Orthoptera; Acrididae
Description: partial 18S ribosomal RNA
Rfam family: Eukaryotic small subunit ribosomal RNA
Source: RNAcentral